Long non-coding RNA from Pantherophis guttatus, 775 nucleotides. RefSeq lists it as uncharacterized. NCBI's taxonomy places the organism in Eukaryota, Metazoa, Chordata, Lepidosauria, Squamata, Colubridae. The record is from RefSeq and is a predicted model, not a curated record.
UGAUGAUGAACCUAUGGCACAGGCAUAGAGCAACUUUCUGUAUUCCUGAAUCGUGAGUUGCAUGACACCUACCUCUUCUUUAAAAAAAAGAGAGCGAGAGAGAGAGUCAGUGUAGCAUAUGGCUUCUCAGCUACUUUUGGAGACGCUUUUUUCUCUAAGGAAGAUAUUACAACUUUAACCGAGGAAUGAAUAACAGAAAUUUGGCAAGUAUUUCACUCAUGCUUGAAAAUCCAUUAUUAACGUGUGGAAGAACAUCUCAAAUAAACCACUAUCACCAGAGUUUUCAAGUUGUCACACCAACAGAUGGUACAGAAUUCACAUAUUCAGGCGUGGGUCAUUGAAUGAUGACAUUUCAAACUGUAUACAAGCAUGUGUGUAUCCAUUCAAAUCUCAUGUGAAAACAAGUCAAAGUCAUCUUUCUAUUAAUGAGGCAGCCAGAGACAAUAGUCUUUCUCUGAGAAAUGUUGACUCUUUCUCUGCCAAGGCAGAAAAAUAUCAUCUCCAGAGGGGCAAUACAGCUCCAUUACCAGGAAGAAGUUCCCCCGGGGAAUUGAUGAGCGGGCAAAGGCCUGCCUUCUCUUUCCCUGCCUUCCUCUUUCAGAGAAGAAACAGAUGUAGAGUAACUUUCUCUAAUUUUCCAUCAUGGGAGGAGAAGGCACUUAAAGAUUGCUUUUCAUAGAGGCAGUAAGAAUUGGGUCUGGGGUUCUGUCAUUUCAAGCUGCUACAGGACUUGUACAGUUGAAUAUUCCUAUAUAUAAUAAACUAGUUAAUAACC